Molecule: ribosomal RNA, 440 nt
Filed under: uncultured bacterium
Lineage: Bacteria
Description: partial 16S ribosomal RNA
Rfam family: Bacterial small subunit ribosomal RNA
Source: RNAcentral
CCUACGGGGGGCUGCAGUGGGGAAUAUUGCACAAUGGGGGAAACCCUGAUGCAGCGACGCCGCGUGAGUGAAGAAGUAUUUCGGUAUGUAAAGCUCUAUCAGCAGGGAAGAAAAUGACGGUACCUGAUUAAGAAGCCCCGGCUAACUACGUGCCAGCAGCCGCGGUAAUACGUAGGGGGCAAGCGUUAUCCGGAUUUACUGGGUGUAAGGGGAGCGUAGACGGCAGCACAAGUCUGGAGUGAAAUGCCGGGGCUUAACCCCGGAACUGCUUUGGAAACUGUGCAGCUAGAGUGCAGGAGAGGUAAGUGGAAUUCCUAGUGUAGCGGUGAAAUGCGUAGAUAUUAGGAGGAACACCAGUGGCGAAGGCGGCUUACUGGACUGUAACUGACGUUGAGGCUCGAAAGCGUGGGGAGCAAACAGGAUUAGAUACCCGUGUAGUC